Long non-coding RNA from Astatotilapia calliptera (eastern happy), 1165 nucleotides. Lineage: Eukaryota; Metazoa; Chordata; Actinopteri; Cichliformes; Cichlidae. The record is from Ensembl.
CCGCGCGCUUACAGAUGCCUUCAACCUCGCCUUGUCUCCCAGGCUCUCGUACUGUUAAACACUCUGGCACUCUUUUAAGGCUGGGUGAUGGCUGUCACUGUAUUUUGUCAGCAAAGCAUAAUAUUUCUUCAGGAGUUCUGAACCUGGCACUCAGCGGGGUAGAAAUGAAAAUAAGGCAGUACAUAAACGGAGGGAGUCAGCCGUAAAUCACCUAACACGCAGAGGAGGCAGCAGGUAGACGAGCUGCUGGCUGUCACAGCACUCCCCUGGAAAGCAGAUUGGACACCAGCCAUCAUGCUUUAAUCAAACUGCACAUAACAGACAUGUCCCUGCUCUUUAUGACACACACGUACAGUGUGCAGCGCACACACCAGAGAAGUGCGCUUUCAGACUUUUCCAACUUGUGCUAUUUAAAUGUGGCUUGUGUUUGUUUGUUUGGGUGUCAGAGGUUAUUCUUUUGUGGUAUCCUAAAAGCGAUCUUUGAAGCUUUAAAAUCAGUUGGUUCACGCACACACGUGCACACGCACGCUUUCUUCAAAGGUCGGUUCUCUUAACUGUGAUAUGAAGCAGUUUUUUUUUUUUUUUGACAUGCUGCGUGUCAAACGAUAAUGUUAUUGUUGGCAAGACUCUUUUAUAGCAGUAUAAUUUUAUUCUGACUUUUCCCUUUCUUUCUUUUUUUUUAAUUAAACACUAAAUGUCUCGCAUGGCUGUGGGUUUGCAGCUAAGUGCGGGUUUGAAAGCUAAUACCAAACAGAUGGGGAAGUAUUCAUAUUCUUAUGAGAGCAGAAUUAUGCAGACCCCUGAAACAAUAGCAACCUUAUUAUACCCCCGAAUGAUGAAUUGUCCCAUCGAACUGGGACACUGAGACAGUCCGCUUCAUUCAGGACGUAAUGUUGUGCUCAGGUCUGUUUUAGUUCUGGCUUUCAUGACAGGUUGUGUUUGAAACCCAUCUUUCAGUGCAAUGUUAUUACGGAAUCUGCUUUUCUGCUCGUAAAUCAGGCCUUGCUCAUUUUCGGCGUUUUCCACUGAAUGUCACGCCUUUGGAAAUGUCAAAAAAUUACUUACAGCCUCUAAGAAACAGAAUGACACUCCUGUUGUAAAGUCGCUCUGUGCAAUACUUCAUAUCAGUCAAAAAUAGGACUUAAAAAAAGAAAAAUACAGCCCC